Molecule: unclassified non-coding RNA, 253 nt
Filed under: uncultured Planctomycetales bacterium
Lineage: Bacteria; Pseudomonadati; Planctomycetota; Planctomycetia; Planctomycetales
Description: contains 16S-23S intergenic spacer region
Rfam family: Bacterial small subunit ribosomal RNA
Source: RNAcentral
UACGUACUGGGCGAACGUUAUUCGGAAUCACUGGGCUUAAAGGGUGCGUAGGCGGUUAAAUAAGUAGGAUGUGAAAUCCUCCGGCCCAACCGGGGAACUGCGUUCUAAACUGUUUAACUUGAGUGAGAUAGGGGUGUGCGGAACUUCCAGUGGAGCGGUGAAAUGUGUUGAUAUUGGAAGGAACGCCGGUGGCGAAAGCGGCACACUGGGUCUCAACUGACGCUGAGGCACGAAAGCCAGGGUAGCGAACGGG